Molecule: ribosomal RNA, 142 nt
Filed under: uncultured Alphaproteobacteria bacterium
Lineage: Bacteria; Pseudomonadati; Pseudomonadota; Alphaproteobacteria
Description: partial 16S ribosomal RNA
Rfam family: Bacterial small subunit ribosomal RNA
Source: RNAcentral
AGCGUUGUUCGGAAUUACUGGGCGUAAAGCGCACGUAGGCGGAUUGCUAAGUCAGGGGUGAAAUCCUGGAGCUCAACUCCAGAACUGCCCUUGAUACUGGCAACCUCGAGUCCGGGAGAGGUGAGUGGAACUGCGAGUGUAG